RNAcentral lists this ribosomal RNA (463 nucleotides) under uncultured bacterium. RNAcentral's name for it is "partial 16S ribosomal RNA". It matches the Rfam family "Bacterial small subunit ribosomal RNA", at positions 28 to 507 of the family's 1533-position model. The record is from RNAcentral.
GAUGAACGCUGACAGAAUGCUUAACACAUGCAAGUCUUUGGCGAAGCUGUGCUUGCACAGCCUAGCCAAGGCGGACGGGUGAGUAACGCGUAAGGAACUUGCCCUGCAGUCAGGGAUAACAGACGGAAACGACUGAUAAGACCUGGUAAAGUCAGGCGGACUCAUGUCCAGCCUGAUGAAAAGAGAUGCUGCAGGAGAGCCUUGCGCCCUAUUAGCUUGUUGGUGGGGUAACGGCCCACCAAGGCGAUGAUAGGUAGCCGGCCUGAGAGGGUGGACGGCCACAAGGGGACUGAGAUACGGCACUUACUCCUACGGGAGGCAGCAGUGGGGAAUAUUGGACAAUGGGGGCAACCCUGAUCCAGAAAUUCUGUGUGCACGAUGAAGGUUUUCGGAUUGUAAAGUGCUUUCAGCAGGGAAGAAAAAAAUGACGGUACCUGCAGAAGAAGCGACGGCUAAAUACGUG